UGAGGAAUAUUGGUCAAUGGUCGAGAGACUGAACCAGCCAAGUCGCGUGAAGGAUGAAGGUUCUAUGGAUUGUAAACUUCUUUUAUGAGAGAGUAAAAAGGGUGACGUGUCACCUAUUGCAAGUAUCUCAUGAAUAAGCACCGGCUAACUCCGUGCCAGCAGCCGCGGUAAUACGGAGGGUGCGAGCGUUAUCCGGAUUUAUUGGGUUUAAAGGGUGCUCAGGUUGUAGAUUAAGUCAGUGGUGAAAACAAGGGGCUCAACCUCUUGCUUGCCAUUGAAACUGGUCCACUAGAGUGUAUUCGACGUAUGCGGAAUGCGUGGUGUAGCGGUGAAAUGCUUAGAUAUCACGCAGAACUCCGAUUGCGAAGGCAGCAUACGAGGCUAUAACUGACACUAAAGCACGAAAGCGUGGGUAUCAGACA
This 422-nucleotide ribosomal RNA is filed under the name uncultured Porphyromonadaceae bacterium. RNAcentral's name for it is "bacterial SSU rRNA". It matches the Rfam family "Bacterial small subunit ribosomal RNA", at positions 355 to 774 of the family's 1533-position model. The record is from RNAcentral. Lineage: Bacteria; Pseudomonadati; Bacteroidota; Bacteroidia; Bacteroidales; Porphyromonadaceae.